Pelobates cultripes (western spadefoot toad) is the source of this 103-nucleotide non-coding RNA. The record is from the annotation of a GenBank genome assembly. NCBI's taxonomy places the organism in Eukaryota, Metazoa, Chordata, Amphibia, Anura, Pelobatidae.
AAAAAAAAAACAUACCACCCAGGAGGGGUGAGAAAAUAUAUUUUUUAUUUUAUAUAAUAAUUAAUUGAUUUUCUCACCCCUCCUGGGUGGUACGUUUAUUCCU